GACGAACCGUGCGAACGUUGUUCGGAAUCACUGGGCUUAAAGGGCGCGUAGGCGGGCGAGCGAGUCCGGGGUGAAAUCUUUCGGCUUAACCGGAAAAGGGCCUCGGAUACCGGUCGUCUGGAGGGAGGUAGGGGCAGCUGGAACUUCCGGUGGAGCGGUGAAAUGCGUUGAUAUCGGAAGGAACGCCGGUGGCGAAAGCGAGCUGCUGGACCGACACUGACACUGAGAGACGAAAGCUAGGGGAGCGAAUGGG
This 253-nucleotide ribosomal RNA is filed under the name uncultured bacterium. RNAcentral's name for it is "partial 16S ribosomal RNA". It matches the Rfam family "Bacterial small subunit ribosomal RNA", at positions 524 to 776 of the family's 1533-position model. The record is from RNAcentral.